Myodes glareolus (Bank vole) is the source of this 1400-nucleotide long non-coding RNA. RefSeq lists it as uncharacterized. The record is from RefSeq and is a predicted model, not a curated record. Lineage: Eukaryota; Metazoa; Chordata; Mammalia; Rodentia; Cricetidae.
CAAAAAAAGACAGCUCCCAAAUGCAAUCAUUUCCCGGUAAAUUUCUACCCUUCAGCCCCACUUUCCUCGGCCACCACACCCCCUCCCCUUGACCUCGGUACCCUGGUUUCUUGAGGGAGUAGGGGGUGUGUGUGCAAAAUGUCCAGGAUCAAGGAGGGCUGGAUACAGUGGAGACAGGCACCCAACCUUCCCCAGAGUCUCCAGGCCUCCAGCUGCCAUGCUCCAGUGCAGACAGACAAUCGGAUGGGGGUGGCAUCUUGAAGCUGUAUCACAUGGAGAGGAGGGCUGUUGUGGACCAAGGACAGACGGCAAGAGGAAUUAAUGCCCCCCUCCAGGCUCUUUGGCACCCUGAACUCCAGACCGCUGCCAGCUGGCUCAGGCUUCAGUCUACUGCUCUCUACCCUGUCCACUUCACUUCCUCCAGUAUCCUUCAGCACUGACGGCAGCCUUGUCUCCUCAACUCAGACGAAUCCACUCCAAAUGCCAUGCCAGAAGUCCUUGCGGGACCAGACACCUUCCAAGCCUUGCCCCUACCCACUCUCAGUCUAAAAGGCAGUCGUUGCCAGCUGGGACGGCUGGCAGAUCUGUGAAGUGGCUCACUCACAGUGACAAUCACAGUGACGGACAUGUGGGUGGAUAGAUUGCUCUCUGUGUCAUUAUGGUGACCCUUGUGUCUACCCACCCGGGAGAGCCCUCUCUCAAGUGGGCUACCUUGUCACUCACCCAGCAGGAGCAGAGGCUGCAUCGUGACAUGGAGGCUUGAUUGGCUGUUUACAAAGCCAGAGGGAACAAGGGCUUUUCGUGGAUGCAUGUGGCAGACUGGCUUCCUCAGCGAUCACAUGAAAAUGCCGCUUGAGCUGGAGGACAGCCUGUGUGGCUGGUGCUCUCGUCAAAUACCAAGAGCGCUCUGAUGCUUCACCAAUUACUUGUUCUGGAAGAAGGCUCCCAAGGAAGCCAUUGGGAUAGUCUCCUGGUUGAGGAAGACUGAGGAUUUCAGCUUCACAUUUAGAUUCGAAGACAUGUCAAAGAACCAUUUCAUCCUGUAGGAAACUCCUUAGGAAGACAAACAACUCAAAAUCACUUCAGGAAGUUCCUAAAACUGACCGAAUGCACUAGGUCCCUCCCUGUCCGAGUAAGCAAACUGAGCAGCCCUCUUAGACAAUGGGAAACUCAGUUACAAAGACCCUGAGACCAGACCAGCUACUUGGAAGAAGCAGAAACCAACCAAGCUGCCUGGAAGAGGUUUAGACCAACUGAGACACCUGGGAAGGACAUCUCCAACCCACUGAGCUGCCUGCAGUCUGUACAGUGUGCUCUGGGUUCCCAGCUUAUGAACUGGGGCUGCUUUGUUGAGACAGUUGUCUGAGUCGUCUCUACUCCUGUUUGUGUUCUAUCACUCA